CCCGCUGAACUUAAGCAUAUCAAUAAGCGGAGGAAAAGAAACUAACAAGGAUUCCCCUAGUAACGGCGAGUGAAGCGGGAUGAGCUCAAGCUUAAAAUCUCCGUGCAAGUUUUGCACGGCGAAUUGUAGUCUAUAGAGGCGUGGUCAGUGAGGGCGCUCGGGGCAAGUUCCUUGGAAGAGGACAGCAUGGAGGGUGAUACUCCCGUUCAUCCCUGAGUGGCUUUUGCGUACGACCCGUGUUCUUUGAGUCGCGUUGUUUGGGAAUGCAGCGCAAAGUAGGUGGUAAAUUCCAUCUAAAGCUAAAUAUUGGUGCGAGACCGAUAGCGAACAAGUACCGUGAGGGAAAGAUGAAAAGAACUUUGAAAAGAGAGUUAAAGAGUACCUGAAACUGCUGAAAGGGAACCGAAUCGUUUCCAGUGUCUAUAAUCCGUGGCAUAUUUCAUUGGCGAGUGUGUGCGUGCGUGUGCUGUGGCAGUGGCUUUUUUGGCUGCGCUCGGCGUGUGUGCUGUGUGUGCUUGUUGGUGCCCUGUGGUGCGGUGGGACGUCAAGGUCAGUUCGUAUGCUGCGGGAAAUGGCUGCCGAGGAGGUAGGGCUUACGCUCCGCGUUUGUCUGUUAUAUCUUGGUGGACGAGUAGUCGCGGUUGGGACUGAGGUGCCUACAACGUGCUUUUGAGUGUGUAUGGGUCUCCGUGUGCGCCGUGUGCGGAUAGCUUGCUAUGCGUGUGUGGUUGUGUGUGGAUUGAUGCGUACUGUAACUUGUCGCCGUUCGGGACGUUGACGAAAUGGAGCGAUCCGACCCGUCUUGAAACACGGACCAAGGAGUCUAACAUGUGUGCAAGUGUUAGGGUGUGGAAACCCCAGCGCGAAAUGAAAGUAAAGGGCAGCGCAAGCUGUCUGAGGUAGGAAACGUUGCGGGCUUCGGCCUGCGGCGUGGCACUAUCGACCGAUCAUGAGCCUUCGUGGUGAAAGAUUUGAGUUUGAGCACAUAUGUUGGUACCCGAAAGAUGGUGAACUAUGCCUGAGUAGGGUGAAGCCAGGGGAAACUCUGGUGGAAGCUCGUAGCGAUUCUGACGUGCAAAUCGAUCGUCAAACUUGGGUAUAGGGGCGAAAGACUAAUCGAACCAUCUAGUAGCUGGUUCCCUCCGAAAUUUCCCUCAGGAUAGCAGCAACUUAUUUACGAUAGUUUUAUGAGGUAAAGCGAAUGAUUAGAGGAUUCGGGGAAGAAACUUUCUCGACCUAUUCUCAAACUUUAAAUCUGUAAGACCUGCAGGUUUCUUAAUUGAACUUGUGGAUGUGAAUAUCAAGUUGCUAGUGGGCCAUACGGGGUAAGCUCGUCUGGCG
This 1341-nucleotide ribosomal RNA is filed under the name Phytophthora lateralis. RNAcentral's name for it is "eukaryotic LSU rRNA". It matches the Rfam family "Eukaryotic large subunit ribosomal RNA", at positions 24 to 1155 of the family's 3401-position model. The record is from RNAcentral. Lineage: Eukaryota; Oomycota; Peronosporomycetes; Peronosporales; Peronosporaceae.